RNAcentral lists this ribosomal RNA (500 nucleotides) under uncultured bacterium. RNAcentral describes it as "partial 16S ribosomal RNA". It matches the Rfam family "Bacterial small subunit ribosomal RNA", at positions 30 to 523 of the family's 1533-position model. The record is from RNAcentral.
AUUGAACGCUGGCGGCAUGCCUUACACAUGCAAGUCGAACGGUAACGGGUCCUUCGGGAUGCCGACGAGUGGCGAACGGGUGAGUAAUAUAUCGGAACGUGCCCAGUAGUGGGGGAUAACUGCUCGAAAGAGCAGCUAAUACCGCAUACGACCUGAGGGUGAAAGGGGGGGAUCGCAAGACCUCUCGCUAUUGGAGCGGCCGAUAUCAGAUUAGCUAGUUGGUGGGGUAAAGGCCUACCAAGGCAACGAUCUGUAGUUGGUCUGAGAGGACGACCAGCCAACCUGGGACUGAGACACGGCCCAGACUCGUACGGGAGGCAGCAGUGGGGAAUUUUGGACAAUGGGCGCAAGCCUGAUCCAGCAAUGCCGCGUGCAGGAAGAAGGCCUUCGGGUUGUAAACUGCUUUUGUCAGGGAAGAAAUCUUCUGGGCUAAUACCCCGGGAGGAUGACGGUACCUGAAGAAUAAGCACCGGCUAACUACGUGCCAGCCGCCGCCGUAA